CAUAUAUAUUCUUCUCAAGAAAACAUGAAGAUUUUCACAUUUGUUUUCAUUGCCAUUCUCCUCAUACAGGUUUUCGCUGAGGCUGUUUCCAUUAACAAUGCCGAAGAUACUGCUGCACAGGAUACAGAAAGGAAGUUGCAUGGAGAUAUUGACACUACAAUAACUGAUGGAAACAUUGGGCAGCAGCAGGUCGCAAAAACUGAAAAUAAUAGAGGUCCAGUUAAUC
Nicotiana attenuata is the source of this 226-nucleotide long non-coding RNA. RefSeq lists it as uncharacterized. The record is from RefSeq and is a predicted model, not a curated record. The transcript has 3 exons. Lineage: Eukaryota; Viridiplantae; Streptophyta; Magnoliopsida; Solanales; Solanaceae.